RNAcentral lists this ribosomal RNA (254 nucleotides) under uncultured bacterium. RNAcentral describes it as "partial 16S ribosomal RNA". It matches the Rfam family "Bacterial small subunit ribosomal RNA", at positions 524 to 776 of the family's 1533-position model. The record is from RNAcentral.
UACGUAGGGGGCAAGCGUUGUCCGGAUUUAUUGGGCGUAAAGAGCUCGUAGGCGGCUCACUAAGUCGGAUGUGAAAACUCCAGGCUCAACCUGGAGACGCCAUUCGAUACUGGUGUGGCUUGAGUUCGGUAGGGGAGCACGGAAUUCCUGGUGUAGCGGUGAAAUGCGCAGAUAUCAGGAGGAACACCGGUGGCGAAGGCGGUGCUCUGGGCCUUACCUGACGCUGAGGAGCGAAAGCAUGGGGAGCAAACAGG